CCCUUAGAUGUUCUGGGCCGCACGCGUGCUACACUGAGUGGAUCAGCGGGUCAGGUUGCGCGAAAGUGUUUCCUAAUCUUGAAAUCCGCUCGUGAUGGGGAUUGACGGUUGCAAUUUUCUGUCAUGAACGAGGAAUACCUUGUAAGCGCGGGUCAUCAUCCCGCGCUGAAUACGUCCCUGCCCUUUGUACACACCGCCCGUCGCUCCUACCGAUUGAGUGGUCCGGUGAGGCUUUGGGAUCUGGAUGGAAAGAGCGUUUCGCUGUUUCUGCCCGGAAAACUCAGUCGAACCUUAUCAUUUAGAGGAAGGAGAGGUCGUAACA
RNAcentral lists this ribosomal RNA (322 nucleotides) under uncultured eukaryote. RNAcentral's name for it is "partial 18S ribosomal RNA". It matches the Rfam family "Eukaryotic small subunit ribosomal RNA", at positions 1470 to 1796 of the family's 1831-position model. The record is from RNAcentral.